This 499-nucleotide ribosomal RNA is filed under the name uncultured bacterium. RNAcentral's name for it is "SSU rRNA". It matches the Rfam family "Bacterial small subunit ribosomal RNA", at positions 26 to 518 of the family's 1533-position model. The record is from RNAcentral.
AGAUUGAACGCUGGCGGCGUGCCUAACACAUGCAAGUCGAGCGGUAACAGGUGUAGCAAUACAUGCUGACGAGCGGCGAACGGGUGAGUAAUGCUUUGGAAUCUUCCCAGUAGUGGGGAAUAACCAGUCGAAAGAUUGGCUAAUACCGUAUACGUCUGUAAAGGGAAAGCGGGGGCUCGUAAGACCUCGCGCUAUUGGAUGAGCCAAAGUCGGAUUAGCUAGUUGGUGGGGUAAUGGCCUACCAAGGCGACAAUCCGUAGCUGGUCUGAGAGGACGACCAGCCACACCGGAACUGAGACACGGUCCGGACUCCUACGGGAGGCAGCAGUGGGGAAUAUUGGACAAUGGGGGAAACCCUGAUCCAGCGACGCCGCGUGCGUGAAGAAGGCCUGCGGGUUGUAAAGCACUUUUAGUGGGGACAAAAAAGCUACGGAUUAAUACUCUGUGGUCUUGAUUUAACCCAAAGAAAAGCACCGGCUAACUCUGUGCCAGCAGCCGC